This 65-nucleotide transfer RNA is filed under the name Dipodomys ordii (Ord's kangaroo rat). It matches the Rfam family "tRNA". From Rfam's summary of the family: Transfer RNA (tRNA) molecules are approximately 80 nucleotides in length. Their secondary structure includes four short double-helical elements and three loops (D, anti-codon, and T loops). Lineage: Eukaryota; Metazoa; Chordata; Mammalia; Rodentia; Heteromyidae. The record is from Rfam by way of RNAcentral.
GGUGGCUCAGUGAUGGAGUGCUUGCCUUGCAUGCAUGAGGCCCUGGGUUCAAUUCCUCAGCACCA